GACGAACGCUGGCGGCGUGCUUAACACAUGCAAGUCGAACGGAAAGGCCCUGCUUUUGUGGGGUGCUCGAGUGGCGAACGGGUGAGUAACACGUGAGUAACCUGCCCUUGACUUUGGGAUAACUUCAGGAAACUGGGGCUAAUACCGGAUAGGAGCUCCUGCUGCAUGGUGGGGGUUGGAAAGUUUCGGUGGUUGGGGAUGGACUCGCGGCUUAUCAGCUUGUUGGUGGGGUAGUGGCUUACCAAGGCUUUGACGGGUAGCCGGCCUGAGAGGGUGACCGGCCACAUUGGGACUGAGAUACGGACCAGACUCCUACAGGAGGCAGCAGUGGGGAAUAUUGCACAAUGGGCGGAAGCCUGAUGCAGCAACGCCGCGUGCGGGAUGACGGCCUUCGGGUUGUAAACCGCUUUCGCCUGUGACGAAGCGUGAGUGACGGUAAUGGGUAAAGAAGCACCGGCUAACUACGUG
Molecule: ribosomal RNA, 468 nt
Filed under: uncultured bacterium
Lineage: Bacteria
Description: partial 16S ribosomal RNA
Rfam family: Bacterial small subunit ribosomal RNA
Source: RNAcentral